UCCCUGGUGGUCCAGUGGUAAGACUUCGAGUUUGCAGUGCAGGGGGCCCAGGUUCUAUCCCUGGUCAGGGAA
RNAcentral lists this transfer RNA (72 nucleotides) under Ovis aries (sheep). It matches the Rfam family "tRNA". From Rfam's summary of the family: Transfer RNA (tRNA) molecules are approximately 80 nucleotides in length. Their secondary structure includes four short double-helical elements and three loops (D, anti-codon, and T loops). The record is from Rfam by way of RNAcentral. Lineage: Eukaryota; Metazoa; Chordata; Mammalia; Artiodactyla; Bovidae.